This 253-nucleotide ribosomal RNA is filed under the name uncultured bacterium. RNAcentral's name for it is "partial 16S ribosomal RNA". It matches the Rfam family "Bacterial small subunit ribosomal RNA", at positions 524 to 776 of the family's 1533-position model. The record is from RNAcentral.
UACGUAGGGUGCAAGCGUUAAUCGGAAUUACUGGGCGUAAAGCGUGCGCAGGCGGUCUUGCAAGACAGAUGUGAAAUCCCCGGGCUUAACCUGGGAACUGCAUUUGUGACUGCAAGGCUAGAGUACGGUAGAGGGGGAUGGAAUUCCGCGUGUAGCAGUGAAAUGCGUAGAUAUGCGGAGGAACACCGAUGGCGAAGGCAAUCCCCUGGACCUGUACUGACGCUCAUGCACGAAAGCGUGGGGAGCAAACAGG